RNAcentral lists this transfer RNA (75 nucleotides) under Candidatus Yanofskyibacteriota bacterium. Its description in RNAcentral is "Candidatus Yanofskybacteria bacterium tRNA-Thr". It matches the Rfam family "tRNA". From Rfam's summary of the family: Transfer RNA (tRNA) molecules are approximately 80 nucleotides in length. Their secondary structure includes four short double-helical elements and three loops (D, anti-codon, and T loops). Lineage: Bacteria; Candidatus Yanofskyibacteriota. The record is from RNAcentral.
GCCGCCUUAGUUCAGUGGCAGAACGCCAUCCCCGUAAGAUGGAUGUCCCCAGUUCGAUUCUGGGAGGCGGCUCCA